GAUGAAGAACGUAGCGAAAUGCGAUACUUGGUGUGAAUUGCAGAAUCCCGUGAACCAUCGAGUCUUUGAACGCAAGUUGCGCCCGAAGCCUAGGCUAAGGGCACGUCUGCCUGGGCGUCACGCAUCGCGUCUCCCCCAAACCGCCAAGGCGGAGGGGAAGGAAGAUGGCUUCCCGUGCCUCACCCGGGCGCGGUUGGCCUAAAUUUGGAGCCCGCGGCACUUAGCUCUCGCGGCGAUAGGUGGUGAACAAGGCCUUGGCCGUGCAAACAACCCGCUGCGAAGCUCUAUGUCACGUGCGCUCGUCGGACCCUUUGAAGUUGCCUUUGGUGACUUAAAACCUUUGCGACCCCAGGUCAGGCGGGGCUACCUGCUGAAUUUAAGCAUAUCAAUAAGCGGAGGA
This 400-nucleotide unclassified non-coding RNA is filed under the name soil metagenome. RNAcentral's name for it is "partial contains 5.8S ribosomal RNA, internal transcribed spacer 2, and large subunit ribosomal RNA". The stretch from base 1 to 120 matches the Rfam family "5.8S ribosomal RNA", at positions 35 to 154 of the family's 154-position model. The record is from RNAcentral.